CCUACGGGGGGCUGCAGUCGAGAAUAGUCUACAAUGGUCGGAAGACUGAUAGUGCGACGCCGCGUGAACGAUGAAUCCCUUCGGGGUGUAAAGUUCUUUUAUAUGUGAGCAGUGCUUCUUAUAUUAACAGUAUGGGGAGAGAGAUAUUAGCAUAUGAAUAAGCAACGGCUAACUCCGUGCCAGCAGCCGCGGUAACACGGGGGUUGCGAGCGUUGUCCGGAAUUACUAGGCGUAAAGGGCAGGCAGGCGGAUCCAUAAGUUUAUCGUUUAAGGCGUCGGCUUAACCGGCGUAGGGCGGUAGAUACUGUGGAUCUGGAAUGCGGUUGGGGAAGACAGAAUUCCUGGUGUAGCGGUGGAAUGCGCAGAGAUCAGGAGGAAUACCGAAGGCGAAGGCAGUCUUCCAAGCCGUUAUUGACGCUCAACUGCGAAGGUGUGGGUAUCAAACAGGAUUAGAUACCCUGGUAGUC
RNAcentral lists this ribosomal RNA (467 nucleotides) under uncultured Spirochaetota bacterium. RNAcentral describes it as "bacterial SSU rRNA". It matches the Rfam family "Bacterial small subunit ribosomal RNA", at positions 338 to 795 of the family's 1533-position model. The record is from RNAcentral. Lineage: Bacteria; Pseudomonadati; Spirochaetota.